RNAcentral lists this ribosomal RNA (253 nucleotides) under uncultured bacterium. RNAcentral's name for it is "partial 16S ribosomal RNA". It matches the Rfam family "Bacterial small subunit ribosomal RNA", at positions 524 to 776 of the family's 1533-position model. The record is from RNAcentral.
UACGUAGGGUGCAAGCGUUGUCCGGAAUUAUUGGGCGUAAAGAGCUCGUAGGCGGUCUGUCGCGUCGGAUGUGAAAACCCAGGGCUCAACCCUGGGCCUGCAUUCGAUACGGGCAGACUAGAGUUCGGUAGGGGAGACUGGGAUUCCUGGUGUAGCGGUGAAAUGCGCAGAUAUCAGGAGGAACACCGGUGGCGAAGGCGGGUCUCUGGGCCGAAACUGACGCUGAGGAGCGAAAGCGUGGGGAGCGAACAGG